Molecule: long non-coding RNA, 364 nt
Filed under: Lathyrus oleraceus (garden pea)
Lineage: Eukaryota; Viridiplantae; Streptophyta; Magnoliopsida; Fabales; Fabaceae
Description: Pisum sativum (pea) long non-coding RNA (PSAT_LNC029063)
Source: RNAcentral
UUAAUGCAUGUUAGAGAUAUAUUAUAAUGGACUAUGCUCAUGAAACAUACCACACACACAAAAAUAUGCAAAAGUGAUGGCCUAAUCUCAUCCAUACUUAUGUUGAUUUUGCAAUCAACUAGCCUUAGGAUGUAGAGAUAUCAUAGGUCCAUGACAUGAAUGCAUAAAGAAGGGGAAUGAGAUGAAGAUGGAGGGGAGGUAGAUCAAACUCAAAUUGGACAAAGGAGGACUUUUACCAAAUUAAAACUAGCCUUAGGAUGUAGAGAUAUCAUAGGUCCAUGACAUGAAUGCAUAAAGAAGGGGAAUGAGAUGAAGAUGGAGGGGAGGUAGAUCAAACUCAAAUUGGACAAAGGAGGACUUUUAC